This 567-nucleotide ribosomal RNA is filed under the name Escherichia coli. RNAcentral describes it as "bacterial SSU rRNA". It matches the Rfam family "Bacterial small subunit ribosomal RNA", at positions 811 to 1378 of the family's 1533-position model. The record is from RNAcentral. Lineage: Bacteria; Pseudomonadati; Pseudomonadota; Gammaproteobacteria; Enterobacterales; Enterobacteriaceae.
GUCGACUUGGAGGUUGUGCCCUUGAGGCGUGGCUUCCGGAGCUAACGCGUUAAGUCGACCGCCUGGGGAGUACGGCCGCAAGGUUAAAACUCAAAUGAAUUGACGGGGGCCCGCACAAGCGGUGGAGCAUGUGGUUUAAUUCGAUGCAACGCGAAGAACCUUACCUGGUCUUGACAUCCACGGAAGUUUUCAGAGAUGAAAAGGUGCCUUCGGGAACCGUGAGACAGGUGCUGCAUGGCUGUCGUCAGCUCGUGUUGUGAAAUGUUGGGUUAAGUCCCGCAACGAGCGCAACCCUUAUCCUUUGUUGCCAGCGGUCCGGCCGGGAACUCAAAGGAGACUGCCAGUGAUAAACUGGAGGAAGGUGGGGAUGACGUCAAGUCAUCAUGGCCCUUACGACCAGGGCUACACACGUGCUACAAUGGCGCAUACAAAGAGAAGCGACCUCGCGAGAGCAAGCGGACCUCAUAAAGUGCGUCGUAGUCCGGAUUGGAGUCUGCAACUCGACUCCAUGAAGUCGGAAUCGCUAGUAAUCGUGGAUCAGAAUGCCACGGUGAAUACGUUCCCGGG